This 414-nucleotide ribosomal RNA is filed under the name uncultured microorganism. RNAcentral's name for it is "bacterial SSU rRNA". It matches the Rfam family "Archaeal small subunit ribosomal RNA", at positions 459 to 872 of the family's 1478-position model. The record is from RNAcentral.
CAGCCGCCGCGGUAAUACCGGCGGCCCGAGUGGCGGCCACUAUUAUUGGGCCUAAAGCGUCCGUAGCCGGGCUGGUAAGUCCCCCGGGAAAUCUGGCGGCUUAACCGUCAGAAUUCCGGGGGAUACUGCCAGCCUAGGGACCGGGAGAGGCCGGGGGUAUUCCCGGGGUAGGGGUGAAAUCCUGUAAUCCCGGGAGGACCACCUGUGGCGAAGGCGCCCGGCUGGAACGGGUCCGACGGUGAGGGACGAAGGCCAGGGGAGCGAACCGGAUUAGAUACCCGGGUAGUCCUGGCGGUAAAGGAUGCGGGCUAGGUGUCGGGUGAGCUGCGAGCUCGCCCGGUGCCGUAGGGAAGCCGUUAAGCCCGCCGCCUGGGGAGUACGGCCGCAAGGCUGAAACUUAAAGGAAUUGGCGGG